AUACGGAGGGUGCAAGCGUUACUCGGAAUCACUGGGCGUAAAGCGCGCGCAGGCGGCUGUUUAAGUUGGAUGUGAAAGCCUACGGCUCAACCGUAGAACUGCAUCCAAAACUAUUUAGCUAGAGUGUGGGAGAGGAAGAUGGAAUUAGUUGUGUAGGGGUAAAAUCCGUAGAGAUAACUAGGAAUACCAAAAGCGAAGGCAAUCUUCUGGAACACUACUGACGCUGAGGCGCGAAAGCGUGGGGAGCAAACAGGAUUAGAAACCCUAGUAGUCC
This 274-nucleotide ribosomal RNA is filed under the name uncultured bacterium. RNAcentral describes it as "partial 16S ribosomal RNA". It matches the Rfam family "Bacterial small subunit ribosomal RNA", at positions 523 to 796 of the family's 1533-position model. The record is from RNAcentral.